GUUCCACAGGGAUGCUGGUCCAUGUUGACUCUACAAGGUGUCUAAAGCGUUCCACAGGGAUGCUGGUCCAUGUUGACUCUACAAGGUGUUGAAAGCGUUCCACAGGGAUGCUGGUCCAUGUUGACUCUAUAAGGUGUGGAAAGCGUUCCACAGGGAUGCUGGCCCAUGUUGACUCUACAAGGUGUCUAAAGCGUUCCACAGGGAUGCUGGUCCAUGUUGACUCUACAAGGUGUCUAAAGCGUUCCACAGGGAUGCUGGUCCAUGUUGACUCUACAAGGUGUUGAAAGCGUUCCACAGGGAUGCUGGUCCAUGUUGACUCUACAAGGUGUCUAAAGCGUUCCACAGGGAUGCUGGUCCAGUUGACUCUACAAGGUGUUGAAAGCGUUCCACAGGGAUGCUGGUCCAUGUUGACUCUACAAGGUGUCUAAAGCGUUCCACAGGGAUGCUGGUCCAUGUCGACUCCAAUGCUUCCCACAGUUGUGUCCAGUUGUCUGGAUAUGUUUUGGGUGGUGGA
Molecule: long non-coding RNA, 514 nt
Organism: Oncorhynchus keta (chum salmon)
Lineage: Eukaryota; Metazoa; Chordata; Actinopteri; Salmoniformes; Salmonidae
Exons: 3
Source: RefSeq, a predicted model, not a curated record